Molecule: ribosomal RNA, 1408 nt
Filed under: metagenome
Description: SSU rRNA
Rfam family: Eukaryotic small subunit ribosomal RNA
Source: RNAcentral
AUUGGACUACCAUGGCAGUAACGGGUAACGAAGAAUUAGGGUUCGAUUUCGGAGAGGGAGCAUGAGAAACGGCUACCACAUCUAAGGAAGGCAGCAGGCGCGUAAAUUACCCAAUCCUGACUCAGGGAGGUAGUGACAAGAAAUAGCAAACCGGGAACCUCAUGGUUUCACGGUAUUGCAAUGAGAACAGUUUAAAACCCUUAGCGAGAAUCAAGUGGAGGACAAGUCUGGUGCCAGCACCCGCGGUAAUUCCAGCUCCACUAGCAUAUAUUAAAGUUGUUGCAGUUAAAAGCUCGUAGUUGAACCUCUGUCUGGGGCUAGUUUUGGCUUUGGUCAGGCUAGUUCUAGGCAUCCGCCUACAAGACUUAGAGGGCAUUCAGUUGUUCACUAGGAGGAGUAGGCAUUUUACUUUGAAAAAAUUAGAGUGUUUAAGGCAGGCAAUCGCCCGCAUAUAUUAGCAUGGAAUAAUAGAAUAGGACACUUUUCCAUUUCGUUGGUUAUUGGAAUCGUGUAAUGAUUAAUAGGGACAGUUGUGGGCAUUUGUAUUUAAUUGUCAGAGGUGAAAUUCUUGGAUUUAUUAAAGACAAACUAACGCGAAAGCAUUUGCCAAGGAUGUUUUCAUUAAUCAAGAACGAAAGUUAGGGGAUCAAAGACGAUCAGAUACCGUCCUAGUCUUAACUAUAAACUAUUCCGACUCAAUGUUUGACUGGCUUAUAUAACCAGUUGAGCGUUGUAUGAGAAAUCAAAGUCUUUAGGUUCUGGGGGGAGUAUGGUUGCAAAGCUGAAACUUAAAGGAAUUGACGGAAGAGCACAACCAGGAGUGGAUUCUGCGGCUUAAUUUGACUCAACACGGGGAAACUUACCAGGUUAAAACAAUAGUGGGAUUGACAGUUUGAGAGCGCUUUCUUGAUUGGUUGGGUGGUGGUGCAUGGCCGUUCUUAGUUGGUGGAGUGAUUUGUCUGCUUAAUUGCGUUAACGAACGAGACCUUAACCUGCUUACUAGACUGGCGAUCAUCAAUCGUUAGCUCUUCUUAGAGGGACUUUGGUUGUUUUAACUCCAAGGAAGUUUGAGGCAAUAACAGGUCUGUGAUGCCCUUAGAUAUCCUGGGCCGCACGCGUCAUACAAUGACUAGUUCAGAAAGUUUUCUCCUGACCCGAAAGGGGAUGGGUAAUCUUGAUAAUACUAGUCGUGUUAGGGAUCGACCUUUGCAAUUAUAGAUCUUGAACGAGGAAUUCCUAGUAAGUGCGGUUCAUCAGACCGUACUGAUUACGUCCCUGCUCUUUGUACACACCGCCCGUCGCUUCUACCGAGUGGGUGGUCCGGUGAGAUAAUUGAACUUCGCAGGUAACUGAGAGGAAAGAUUAUCAAACCUAUCCACCUCGAGGAAGAAGAAGUCGUAACAAGGUU